Molecule: unclassified non-coding RNA, 241 nt
Filed under: uncultured fungus
Lineage: Eukaryota; Fungi
Description: partial contains 5.8S rRNA, ITS2 and 28S rRNA
Rfam family: Eukaryotic large subunit ribosomal RNA
Source: RNAcentral
AAGGAGUCUAACAUGCCCGCGAGUUCUACAUUUUAGUUACUCAGCGUGCGAAAUCGAAAAGAAUUUCACUACUAGCAGAGCGCGUAUGUUGGGACCCGAAAGAUGGUGAACUAUGUCUGCCCAGGGCGAAGUCAGUGGAAACUCUGAUGGAGGGUCGUAGCGAUUCUGACGUGCAAAUCGAUCGUCAGAGUUGGGUAUAGGGGCGAAAGACUAAUCGAACCAUCUAGUUGCUGGUUCCUGC